CCUGAACGCUGGCGGCGUGGCUAAGACAUGCAAGUCGCACGGAGCCGGGUAGCAAUACCCGGUUUAGUGGCGAACGGGUGAGUAAUGAAUCGCUAAUGUACCCCGGAUUCUGGGAUAGCCAGUCGAAAGGCUGGGUAAUACCAGAUGAUAUAACCGCUUCGCAUGAAGUGGUUCUCAAAGGAGCAAUCCGCUCUGGGAGCAGGCGAUUUCGUAUCAGCNGUUGGUGAGGUAACGGCUCACCAAGGCGACGACGCGUAGCCGGACUGAGAGGUUGGCCGGCCACAUUGGGACUGAGACACUGCCCAGACUCCUACGGGGGGCUGCAGUAACGAAUCUUCCGCAAUGCACG
This 349-nucleotide ribosomal RNA is filed under the name uncultured bacterium. Its description in RNAcentral is "bacterial SSU rRNA". It matches the Rfam family "Bacterial small subunit ribosomal RNA", at positions 30 to 377 of the family's 1533-position model. The record is from RNAcentral.